This 208-nucleotide ribosomal RNA is filed under the name uncultured bacterium. RNAcentral's name for it is "partial 16S ribosomal RNA". It matches the Rfam family "Bacterial small subunit ribosomal RNA", at positions 568 to 774 of the family's 1533-position model. The record is from RNAcentral.
CGCGCAGGCUGCCUGAUUAGUCAGAUGUGAAAGCCCGGGGCUCAACCCCGGAAGUGCAUUUGAUACUGUCAGGCUUGAGUAUGGGAGAGGAAAGUGGAAUUCCUGGUGUAGAGGUGAAAUUCGUAGAUAUCAGGAGGAACACCGGUGGCGAAGGCGACUUUCUGGACCAAUACUGACGCUGAGGCGCGAAGGCGGUGGGGAGCAAACA